CAAAAAAGCGAUAGCAUCCCGGACAGUACUUCCAGUAUAGGACAGCACCUAAAACGACAUAGGAAGCACUUGCCGAAUAAACUACAAGCUCCAGAGCAUCGUGAGUCACAGAUUCAAAAAUUCUUAACUUACCAACUCCCAAAAUCACGGCGACGGUAAGGACUACGUCAAAAUGUCGAAAAUGUUAAGAGACGAUGUAAUAUCUGCAAAAUUCGUUAUGCUUCUUGAUGGGGAAAGUGCUAUUUGCCGAGCAGCAGGUGGUCCAUGAUGAUAGCAGCAUUUAAAGCGGUUCUGUACCAAGAAGAUUAACGAUUGCCACAGAUAUACUUCUGUAAAGAUACCAACGAGAUAAAUACCUGCUAUAUGAAGUCGUUGAAAGAUACUCCCGAUUUAAAAGCUAAAUCUACUGAAAGUACAGGUGCAUUUCAGUGGCGCCAUUUCUAUGCCUGGUGCGACAACGGUUUCAUAAACAUGUUAUCGAAAAAUUCAUCAUCUUGUGGCCAAAAAGCAAGUUUUAUCAAUUUGUAUAAUACCCAUUCCACAUGUUUGGAUAAUUACAACCUGGUAUUUUCCGAUCCUCAGCAGAAUCAACUUGCACUAAAUGUGGAUGCACCAGUAAAAGAAGUUUCAUUAUCUUGUGCAUAAAAAAUUAAAGAUUGAGUGAUCCUAUUAAUUACUGUAAUGCACAUCUUUCAGGCAUAGAAGGCAGUAUGAUAUCUUCCAAUAUCCUACACAUGUUAUAAAAUAAUGCUGAGACAGUUCUGGAUAAAGUAGUGUGUGGACGGCAUUCUCGUAAAAAAGAAACAGCAGAAGCUGAAUCACACGUAUAAAGUAAAAUGGAAUCUAUAGUUUGUGCGUUACAAUUUGAUACCAAUCGCAUUUGAAAAUGAAUAUCCAAACACAACACGACUAAGGAAAUACGUAUAAUAUUUUGGUUAAAGUUCAUCAUACCAGUGUUCAGAAGUUUACUUCGUAAGGAGAGGACAGCUUCUCCAGGUUCCGCCCGGUUCGCGCCAAGAGUCGCGGCACGUGCAUGGAAACUGGUUCUGGAAAACCGGUCGAGAAGAAGCCUGACACCAGCUGACCUCAGAUGGAUAAGAAGAGGGGAAGGGGGAGGAAUAAGAAUAAUAAUGAGAAUUCACAUCGACAGCCUCGAAGAAGGAAAAUUCAAGCGACGUCAGUUGCUAGGGCUCCCAGAAACAUCAAUUUGGAUGGUGCGGGUUAGUCAAAAGGCUGAGAAAUAAACAAGGCGACACCAGACCCAUGCAAGAACUGGCACGUAAACUCAAGAGAAAUUAAUUUAAAUGCAUGUUGAUUAAUGCAUAUGCUAAGAAAAUGAAAACGUUGAAUCUUUCUAUCUAUAUGUAUGUAUAUGUAAGCAAAAUAUCACUGACUCAUCCCGAGAUCUCUGAAACUGUACAUCCGAUUGACUUGAAAUUUUGCAUAGUUACUCAUUCCCCGAUAUAGACACGCACUAAGAAAGGAUUUUACGUAAAUCCUGUCCAAAAUGGGUUUUUGUUAUACAAUAGAAUACACACACUUAUACAAUAGAAGUUUCUCAUACAUUUGGUUUCCAAAUCCAAGUUCAGAAUUUUCUUUUAUUGUCCCCAAAACUAGAUAUGAAAUACAAUGUUGCCAAUAAAUGCAUU
Stegodyphus dumicola is the source of this 1649-nucleotide long non-coding RNA. RefSeq lists it as uncharacterized. Lineage: Eukaryota; Metazoa; Arthropoda; Arachnida; Araneae; Eresidae. The record is from RefSeq and is a predicted model, not a curated record.